GGUAAUGCCGGAUGUUCCACAUGAUCGCAUGUGAUUGUGGGAAAGAUUCUAUCGGCGUGGGAUGGGGUCGCGUCCUAUCAGCUUGUUGGUGAGGUAACGGCUCACCAAGGCUUCGACGGGUAGCCGGCCUGAGAGGGCGACCGGCCACAUUGGGACUGAGAUACGGCCCAGACUCCUACGGGAGGCAGCAGUGGGGAAUAUUGCACAAUGGGCGCAAGCCUGAUGCAGCGACGCCGCGUGAGGGAUGGAGGCCUUCGGGUUGUAAACCUCUUUUGUUUGGGAGCAAGCCUUCGGGUGAGUGUACCUUUCGAAUAAGCGCCGGCUAACUACGUGCCAGCAGCCGCGGUAAUACGUAGGGCGCAAGCGUUAUCCGGAUUUAUUGGGCGUAAAGGGCUCGUAGGCGGCUCGUCGCGUCCGGUGUGAAAGUCCAUCGCUUAACGGUGGAUCUGCGCCGGGUACGGGCGGGCUGGAGUGCGGUAGGGGAGACUGGAAUUCCCGGUGUAACGGUGGAAUGUGUAGAUAUCGAAGAAGAGAC
RNAcentral lists this ribosomal RNA (535 nucleotides) under Bifidobacterium bifidum. RNAcentral's name for it is "bacterial SSU rRNA". It matches the Rfam family "Bacterial small subunit ribosomal RNA", at positions 162 to 707 of the family's 1533-position model. The record is from RNAcentral. Lineage: Bacteria; Bacillati; Actinomycetota; Actinomycetes; Bifidobacteriales; Bifidobacteriaceae.